GACGAACGCUGGCGGCGUGCUUAACACAUGCAAGUCGAACGGAAAGGCCCUGCUUUUGUGGGGUGCUCGAGUGGCGAACGGGUGAGUAACACGUGAGUAACCUGCCCUUGACUUUGGGAUAACUUCAGGAAACUGGGGCUAAUACCGGAUAGGAGCUCCUGCUGCAUGGUGGGGGUUGGAAAGUUUCGGCGGUUGGGGAUGGACUCGCGGCUUAUCAGCUUGUUGGUGGGGUAGUGGCUUACCAAGGCUUUGACGGGUAGCCGGCCUGAGAGGGUGACCGGCCACAUUGGGACUGAGAUACGGCCCAGACUCCUACGGGAGGGAGCAGUGGGGAAUAUUGCACAAUGGGCGGAAGCCUGAUGCAGCAACGCCGUGUGCGGGAUGACGGCCUUCGGGUUGUAAACCGCUUUCGCCUGUGACGAAGCGUGAGUGACGGUAAUGGGUAAAGAAGCACCGGCUAACUACGUG
This 468-nucleotide ribosomal RNA is filed under the name uncultured bacterium. RNAcentral's name for it is "partial 16S ribosomal RNA". It matches the Rfam family "Bacterial small subunit ribosomal RNA", at positions 28 to 507 of the family's 1533-position model. The record is from RNAcentral.